CCUACGGGAGGCAGCAGUGGGGAAUUUUGGACAAUGGGCGCAAGCCUGAUCCAGCAAUGCCGCGUGCAGGAUGAAGGCCUUCGGGUUGUAAACUGCUUUUGUACGGAACGAAACGGUGAGCUCUAAUACAGUUUGCUAAUGACGGUACCGUAAGAAUAAGCACCGGCUAACUACGUGCCAGCAGCCGCGGUAAUACGUAGGGUGCGAGCGUUAAUCGGAAUUACUGGGCGUAAAGCGUGCGCAGGCGGUGAUGUAAGACAGAUGUGAAAUCCCCGGGCUCAACCUGGGACCUGCAUUUGUGACUGCAUCGCUAGAGUACGGUAGAGGGGGGAUGGAAUUCCGCGUGUAGCAGUGAAAUGCGUAGAUAUGCGGAGGAACACCGAUGGCGAAGGCAAUCCCCUGGACCUGUACUGACGCUCAUGCACGAAAGCGUGGGGAGCAAACAGGAUUAGAUACCCUGGUAGUCCACGCCCUAAACGAUGUCAACUGGUUGUUGGGUCUUCACUGACUCAGUAACGAAGCUAACGCGUGAAGUUGACCGCCUGGGGAGUACGGCCGCAAGGUUGAAACUCAAAAUGAAUUGACGG
This 587-nucleotide ribosomal RNA is filed under the name uncultured bacterium. Its description in RNAcentral is "bacterial SSU rRNA". It matches the Rfam family "Bacterial small subunit ribosomal RNA", at positions 338 to 916 of the family's 1533-position model. The record is from RNAcentral.